RNAcentral lists this ribosomal RNA (709 nucleotides) under Phytopythium oedochilum. Its description in RNAcentral is "eukaryotic LSU rRNA". It matches the Rfam family "Eukaryotic large subunit ribosomal RNA", at positions 81 to 631 of the family's 3401-position model. Lineage: Eukaryota; Oomycota; Peronosporomycetes; Pythiales; Pythiaceae. The record is from RNAcentral.
UAGUAACGGCGAGUGAAGCGGGAAGAGCUCAAGCUUAAAAUCUCUGCGCAAGUUUUGCGUGGCGAAUUGUAGUCUAUAGACGCGUAAUCAGUGCGGCUGCUCGGGAUAAGUUCCUUGGAAGAGGACAGCAUGGAGGGUGAUACUCCCGUUUGUGCCUGAGCAUGUUGCGCGUACGAUUUGUGUUCUUUGAGUCGCGUUGUUUGGGAAUGCAGCGCAAAGUAGGUGGUAAAUUCCAUCUAAAGCUAAAUAUUGGUGCGAGACCGAUAGCGAACAAGUACCGUGAGGGAAAGAUGAAAAGAACUUUGAAAAGAGAGUUAAAGAGUACCUGAAACUGCUGAAAGGGAACCGGGUCGUUGCCAGUGUCUAUAAUCGUCGGCAUAUUUCAUUGCUGUGCGGGUCUGUGUCGCGCGUUGGUAGUAGUUUGUUCUGGCGCCGCGUGUGUCGUUCAGGUUUGCUCGGCGGUGCCCUGUGUCGGUGUGGGACGUCAGAGUCAGUUCGUGUGCUGCGGGAAAUGGCUGUCGAGGAGGUAGGUCAGGAGUUCGCUUUUGGCUGUUAUAUCUUGGCGUGCUAGUUGUCGUGGUUGGGACUGAGGUGCCUACAACGUGCUUUUGAGUGCGUGUGCGUCUCUGUUUGCGUGCGAGUUGGAUAGCUUGCUAUGCAGUUUGCAUUGUGUGCGGAUGGAUGUAUGCGUUAACUUGGUAUGCCGUUC